Non-coding RNA from Gossypium hirsutum (cotton), 75 nucleotides. NCBI's taxonomy places the organism in Eukaryota, Viridiplantae, Streptophyta, Magnoliopsida, Malvales, Malvaceae. The record is from Rfam.
CACGUCAGCGCGACCUGCUGAUGUGGAAGGAAAUCGCGCAAUUUCCUUCCACGUCAGCAGGUCGCUCUUACGUGG